GCGCCUGUAGCUCAGCGGAUAGAGCGUCUGCCUCCGGAGCAGAAGGCCACAGGUUCGAGUCCUGUCAGGCGCGCCA
This 76-nucleotide transfer RNA is filed under the name uncultured Armatimonadota bacterium. RNAcentral describes it as "uncultured Armatimonadetes bacterium tRNA-Arg-CCG". It matches the Rfam family "tRNA". From Rfam's summary of the family: Transfer RNA (tRNA) molecules are approximately 80 nucleotides in length. The record is from RNAcentral. RNAcentral also lists the same sequence under 1 other name. Lineage: Bacteria; Bacillati; Armatimonadota.